RNAcentral lists this ribosomal RNA (492 nucleotides) under uncultured bacterium. RNAcentral's name for it is "partial 16S ribosomal RNA". The stretch from base 95 to 492 matches the Rfam family "Bacterial small subunit ribosomal RNA", at positions 1 to 507 of the family's 1533-position model. The record is from RNAcentral.
GGGGGGGGGGGGGGGGGGGGCGGGGGGGGGGGGGGGGGGGGGCGGGGGGGGGGGGGGGGGGGGGUGCGGGGGGCGGGGGGGGGGCGGGGGGGGACGGCAUCGGAAUCUGCUGUGUCGGGGGGGCGGCGGGGGGGGGGCUGACGCUAAGACCGCCUCCGACCUACGGGUGAAGGCAGGGGAUCUUCCGCCCUCGCGCGGUUGCAUGCGCCGCUUUCGGAUUGGCUAGUUGGCGGGGUAACGGCCCACCAAGGCGACGAUCCGUAGCUGGUCUGAGAGGAUGAUCAGCAACACUGGAACUGAGACACGGUCCAGACUCCUACGGGAGGCAGCAGUGGGGAAUAUUGGACAAUGGGCGCAAGCCUGAUCCAGCCAUACCGCGUGGGUGAAGAAGGCCUUCGGGUUGUAAAGCCCUUUUGUUGGGAAAGAAAAGCAGCAGGUUAAUACCCCGCUGUUCUGACGGUACCCAAAGAAUAAGCACCGGCUAACUUCGUG